AUUGGAACACCGUAUUCCGUAUGAUCACCGAAAUUAAGCAACGUCGGGCCUCGUCAGUACCUAGAUGGGUGACCGUUUGAGAAUACCAGGUGCUGUAAG
Non-coding RNA from Acanthosepion pharaonis, 99 nucleotides. The record is from the annotation of a GenBank genome assembly. NCBI's taxonomy places the organism in Eukaryota, Metazoa, Mollusca, Cephalopoda, Sepiida, Sepiidae.